UUCAUACCUAAUACAUACAGAGAAUACAUAAGUGACAGAUACAGUACUAAGCAUUCUCAGCACCAUGACAGCAGAUCUACAGCAUGAAAGAGUGGAAGGGGAAGGCACCUUGGGAGUGUUUAGGCAAGAGGCUUGCGGGCAUACAUAACCCGUAGUAUUGAAUCUGUCUAUGCACACUAGGUUGAAGCACAUCCCUCCCCAUCACCCAGACAGAUGUAAAGAAGUUGGGAACCUCUGGUCCAACAGGAACAUCACCCUCUCCCAGGAGUUAGUUAGGAGUUUAUUCAGCAGCAUCACUGUGGUUAGAUGGAAGUAGAUCCACACAUUGUUCUCUAUCAUGCAGAAUUGUCCGCUCAUUAUAACUCAUAAAGCUCAUUGUAAAAUACA
Molecule: long non-coding RNA, 387 nt
Organism: Salvelinus fontinalis (brook trout)
Lineage: Eukaryota; Metazoa; Chordata; Actinopteri; Salmoniformes; Salmonidae
Exons: 3
Source: RefSeq, a predicted model, not a curated record